GAUGAACGCUGGCGGCGUGCCUAAUACAUGCAAGUCGAACGCGAGCAGCAAUGCUCGAGUGGCGAACGGGUGAGUAAUACAUAAGUAACCUGCCCUAGACAGGGGGAUAACUGCUGGAAACGGCAGCUAAGACCGCAUAGGUAUGGACACUGCAUGGUGACCAUAUUAAAAGUGCCAAGGCACUGGUAGAGGAUGGACUUAUGGCGCAUUAGCUGGUUGGUGAGGUAACGGCUCACCAAGGCGACGAUGCGUAGCCGACCUGAGAGGGUGACCGGCCACACUGGGGCUGAGACACGGCCCAGACUCCUACGGGAGGCAGCAGUAGGGAAUUUUCGGCAAUGGGGGGAACCCUGACCGAGCAACGCCGCGUGAAGGAAGAAGGAAUUCGUUCUGUAAACUUCUGUUAUAAAGGAAGAACGGCGGAUAUAGGGAAUGAUAUCCGAGUGACGGUACUUUAUGAGAAAG
Molecule: ribosomal RNA, 465 nt
Filed under: uncultured bacterium
Lineage: Bacteria
Description: bacterial SSU rRNA
Rfam family: Bacterial small subunit ribosomal RNA
Source: RNAcentral